Molecule: small RNA, 360 nt
Filed under: Pan troglodytes (chimpanzee)
Lineage: Eukaryota; Metazoa; Chordata; Mammalia; Primates; Hominidae
Description: processed transcript
Source: RNAcentral
UGGGUUUUCUUACCAGUGACACCUCAGCCUUCUGAGGACUUAUUUCUUGGUAGGAGCUGCUGCUUUUCUGGGCAUGUUCCAUGUGUUGACUCCCUACAUACUCCAGGACUAGCUUAGGUCCCAACCCAAUAGUUCCCAGCCUUCUGAGGACCCAUGACUCCUCUUUCCAGGGUUUGAACAUCCUCAUCCCUGUGUUAGACCGGAUCCGAUAUGUGCAGAGUCUCAAGGAAAUUGUCAUCAAUGUGCCUGAGCAGUCGGCUGUGACUCUCGACAAUGUAACUCUGCAAAUUGAUGGAGUCCUUUACCUGCGCAUCAUGGACCCUUACAAGGCAAGCUACGGUGUGGAGGACCCUGAGUAUG